This 270-nucleotide ribosomal RNA is filed under the name Triticum aestivum (bread wheat). Its description in RNAcentral is "partial small subunit ribosomal RNA". Lineage: Eukaryota; Viridiplantae; Streptophyta; Magnoliopsida; Poales; Poaceae. The record is from RNAcentral.
CUCGGCGGCGGAUAGUCCUGCCGUUUCUGGGAAAAUUGCUGGAUCGGCGUGCGGGCCAUCUCUGACAUCGGCCCCGCCCUAGUCUUCAUGGUUCCGCGUCGUCGCCGCAAAACACGCUCGGUGGCUGAUGGUCUUCAUCAGCGGACCUGGAUUGGGGACAUACAGGGCGCCCUCACUCCCGUGGCUAUGGUUGAGUACGUUGAGCUAUGGCGUCGGCUUGGGCAGGUCACGCUCUCUGCGUUGGACAUCGUCUGGCGUUUCCACCGCUAG